UACGUAGGGUGCGAGCGUUAAUCGGAAUUACUGGGCGUAAAGCGUGCGCAGGCGGUUUUGUAAGUCAGAUGUGAAAUCCCCGAGCUCAACUUGGGAACUGCGUUUGAAACUACAAGACUAGAAUAUGUCAGAGGGGGGUAGAAUUCCACGUGUAGCAGUGAAAUGCGUAGAGAUGUGGAGGAAUACCAAUGGCGAAGGCAGCCCCCUGGGAUAAUAUUGACGCUCAUGCACGAAAGCGUGGGGAGCAAACAGGAUUAGAAACCCUCGUAGUCC
Molecule: ribosomal RNA, 273 nt
Filed under: uncultured Methylotenera sp.
Lineage: Bacteria; Pseudomonadati; Pseudomonadota; Betaproteobacteria; Nitrosomonadales; Methylophilaceae
Description: partial 16S ribosomal RNA
Rfam family: Bacterial small subunit ribosomal RNA
Source: RNAcentral